ACCUGAAACCGUGUACGUACAAGCAGUGGGAGCACAGAGCAAUCUGUGUGACUGCGUACCUUUUGUAUAAUGGGUCAGCGACUUAUAUUCUGUAGCAAGGUUAACCGAAUAGGGGAGCCGAAGGGAAACCGAGUCUUAACUGGGCGUUAAGUUGCAGGGUAUAGACCCGAAACCCGGUGAUCUAGCCAUGGGCAGGUUGAAGGUUGGGUAACACUAACUGGAGGACCGAACCGACUAAUGUUGAAAAAUUAGCGGAUGACUUGUGGCUGGGGGUGAAAGGCCAAUCAAACCGGGAGAUAGCUGGUUCUCCCCGAAAGCUAUUUAGGUAGCGCCUCGUGAAUUCAUCUCCGGGGGUAGAGCACUGUUUCGGCAAGGGGGUCAUCCCGACUUACCAACCCGAUGCAAACUGCGAAUACCGGAGAAUGUUAUCACGGGAGACACACGGCGGGUGCUAACGUCCGUCGUGAAGAGGGAAACAACCCAGACCGCCAGCUAAGGUCCCAAAGUCAUGGUUAAGUGGGAAACGAUGUGGGAAGGCCCAGACAGCCAGGAUGUUGGCUUAGAAGCAGCCAUCAUUUAAAGAAAGCGUAAUAGCUCACUGGUCGAGUCGGCCUGCGCGGAAGAUGUAACGGGGCUAAACCAUGCACCGAAGCUGCGGCAGCGACACUGUGUGUUGUUGGGUAGGGGAGCGUUCUGUAAGCCUGUGAAGGUGUGCUGUGAGGCAUGCUGGAGGUAUCAGAAGUGCGAAUGCUGACAUAAGUAACGAUAAAGCGGGUGAAAAGCCCGCUCGCCGGAAGACCAAGGGUUCCUGUCCAACGUUAAUCGGGGCAGGGUGAGUCGACCCCUAAGGCGAGGCCGAAAGGCGUAGUCGAUGGGAAACAGGUUAAUAUUCCUGUACUUGGUGUUACUGCGAAGGGGGGACGGAGAAGGCUAUGUUGGCCGGGCGACGGUUGUCCCGGUUUAAGCGUGUAGGCUGGUUUUCCAGGCAAAUCCGGAAAAUCAAGGCUGAGGCGUGAUGACGAGGCACUACGGUGCUGAAGCAACAAAUGCCCUGCUUCCAGGAAAAGCCUCUAAGCAUCAGGUAACAUCAAAUCGUACCCCAAACCGACACAGGUGGUCAGGUAGAGAAUACCAAGGCGCUUGAGAGAACUCGGGUGAAGGAACUAGGCAAAAUGGUGCCGUAACUUCGGGAGAAGGCACGCUGAUAUGUAGGUGAAGUCCCUCGCGGAUGGAGCUGAAAUCAGUCGAAGAUACCAGCUGGCUGCAACUGUUUAUUAAAAACACAGCACUGUGCAAACACGAAAGUGGACGUAUACGGUGUGACGCCUGCCCGGUGCCGGAAGGUUAAUUGAUGGGGUCAGCGCAAGCGAAGCUCUUGAUCGAAGCCCCGGUAAACGGCGGCCGUAACUAUAACGGUCCUAAGGUAGCGAAAUUCCUUGUCGGGUAAGUUCCGACCUGCACGAAUGGCGUAAUGAUGGCCAGGCUGUCUCCACCCGAGACUCAGUGAAAUUGAACUCGC
Molecule: ribosomal RNA, 1519 nt
Filed under: Escherichia coli
Lineage: Bacteria; Pseudomonadati; Pseudomonadota; Gammaproteobacteria; Enterobacterales; Enterobacteriaceae
Description: partial 23S ribosomal RNA
Rfam family: Bacterial large subunit ribosomal RNA
Source: RNAcentral